AGCAGCCGCGGUAAUUCCAGCUCCAAUAGCGUAUAUUAAAGUUGUUGCAGUUAAAAAGCUCGUAGUUGAAUUUCGAGAUCAAAUUGUUGGUCGUGCCUUGGUACGCACUGGCAUUAUUGGUUUCUCCCUUCUGAAGAACCAAGAUGUCACUAAUUUGGUGUCAUGGGGAAUCAGGACUGUUACUUUGAAAAAAUUAGAGUGUUUAAAGCAGGCUCACGCUUGAAUACAUUAGCAUGGAAUAACGAAAUAGGACGUUUGAUUCUAUUUUGUUGGUUUCUAGGAUCGACGUAAUGAUUAAUAGGGAUAGUUGGGGGCAUUAGUAUUCAAUUGUCAGAGGUGAAAUUCUUGGAUUUAUUGAAGACUAACUACUGCGAAAGCAUUUGCCAAGGAUGUUUUCAUUAAUCAAGACGAAAGUUAGGGGAUCGAAGACGAUCAGAUACCGUCGUAGUCUUAACCAUAAACUAUGCCGACUAGGGAUCGGAUGAUGUUAAUUUUUUAAUGACUCA
Molecule: ribosomal RNA, 506 nt
Filed under: uncultured Glomus
Lineage: Eukaryota; Fungi; Glomeromycota; Glomeromycetes; Glomerales; Glomeraceae
Description: SSU rRNA
Rfam family: Eukaryotic small subunit ribosomal RNA
Source: RNAcentral